Molecule: ribosomal RNA, 327 nt
Filed under: uncultured Lachnospiraceae bacterium
Lineage: Bacteria; Bacillati; Bacillota; Clostridia; Lachnospirales; Lachnospiraceae
Description: bacterial SSU rRNA
Rfam family: Bacterial small subunit ribosomal RNA
Source: RNAcentral
GAUGAACGCUGGCGGCGUGCUUAACACAUGCAAGUCGAACGAAGCACUUAAUGAGAUCCUUCGGGUGAUCGUUUUGUGACUGAGUGGCGGACGGGUGAGUAACGCGUGGGUAACCUGCCCUGUACAGGGGGAUAACAGUCAGAAAUGACUGCUAAUACCGCAUAAGCGCACGAGGGGGCAUCCUCUUGUGUGAAAAACUCCGGUGGUACAGGAUGGGCCCGCGUCUGAUUAGCCAGUUGGCAGGGUAAUGGCCUACCAAAGCGACGAUCAGUAGCCGGUCUGAGAGGAUGAACGGCCACAUUGGAACUGAGACACGGUCCAAACUCC